UUGCCUACUGAGAAUAGGAAUCAGUUGAGUUAAGCAAGGCAACAGGAAUUUACUGUGACAGGAUGGGGUGCCCUUCUCAUCCUUGUUCCAGGACUCUCAGGAGUGACCCCUUCAGCUGCUAGUAUUCACCACUUCAGAUGCUGACCUGGAGAACCUAAUUAGUUAUCUUAGAACAAAACCAUGUCCCUAGCCCCAUCACCUCUAGUCCAGGUUUCUUAGUGCUACCUCCAGCCAUGAUGACUUUCAAAGAGCAAGAACUAGGGCGACCCCAUGACCUCCCCAUGUGAACCCUGUGUGUGCCGCUCUUGGUGUAUAUGGUACCUCUUCUGUCAUUUGUUCUCCAGGCCCUCAGCAUCCUCCUGCUCCCUCAGAACAUCCCACCUAGCCUGAGCUUGCUCACCAGCAUGGUGGAUGACAUGUGGCAUUACGCUGGGGACCAGUCCACUGAUUUUAACUGGUACACCCGCCGCGCAGUGCUGGCCGGCAUCUACAACACAACAGAGUUCUGGUGCCUUUUGCAUUGCAGCUGUGUGUUUGAAAAAUGAGACUCACAUCCAAGGUUUCAAACCACAGAAACUUGGCAUGACUCUGCCAUGGUGUCACGGGCAUCUUGAUCAUGUCUUGACCUUAGAACUGUUCUCUAGGAGUGGGGCAUAGUGACGUAUACCUGUAUUCUCAGUACGCAGAAGACUGGAGAGCAGGAUUGAGAGUUCAGAGGCAGGCUUGUCUAUGUAGAGAAUUACAAGCCUGCUUGAGCCACAGAGUGUGAUCCUGUCGAUCAAAAUCCCCUGAGAAAUAUUCUUAGGGGCUCACAACCAAGGUCCAAAGGCAACACAUAGUGGGGGCUCUUCCCCAGCACAGGGCAGACAGUGUGCUCACAGAGGUAUUUGCCAUUGGCCACUGCUCCUCUGGAUCCCCUCAGAAAGCUGCCUCCCCUAGACAGGUGCCUUUUGGAUGGUCAUGCUGAACCUGGCAUCACAGACACCAGUGUGCAUUGCAGGAUCAUUAGUACAUUUAGAGUCUGU
This 1025-nucleotide long non-coding RNA is filed under the name Rattus norvegicus (Norway rat). RNAcentral's name for it is "long non-coding RNA NONRATT014456". The record is from RNAcentral. Lineage: Eukaryota; Metazoa; Chordata; Mammalia; Rodentia; Muridae.